ACGGAAGGCAGCAGUGGGGAAUAUUGCACAAUGGGGGAAACCCUGAUGCAGCGACGCCACGUGUGGGAAGAAGCAUUUCGGUGUGUAAACCACUGUCGUGAGGGAAUAAUGCUUGGCCUCGGCCAAGUUGAAUGUACCUCGAAAGGAAGCACCGGCAAACUUCGUGCCAGCAGCCGCGGUAAUACGAGGGGUGCAAGCGUUGUUCGGAAUCACUGGGUGUAAAGGGAGCGCAGGCGGAGAUGCAAGCAGUCUGUACAAUACCGGGGCCCAACCCCGGACCUGCAGACUGGACUGUUUCUCUUGGAUAGUUCAGGGGCAAGCGGAAUUCCUGGUGUAGCGGUGGAAUGCGUAGAGAUCAGGAAGAACACCGAUGGCGAAGGCAGCUUGCUGGGGACUAAUCGACGCUCAUGCUCGAAAGUGCGGGUAGCAAACAGGAUUAGAUACCCUGGUA
This 451-nucleotide ribosomal RNA is filed under the name uncultured Fibrobacter sp. RNAcentral's name for it is "partial 16S ribosomal RNA". It matches the Rfam family "Bacterial small subunit ribosomal RNA", at positions 341 to 792 of the family's 1533-position model. Lineage: Bacteria; Pseudomonadati; Fibrobacterota; Fibrobacteria; Fibrobacterales; Fibrobacteraceae. The record is from RNAcentral.